This 433-nucleotide ribosomal RNA is filed under the name uncultured bacterium. RNAcentral's name for it is "partial 16S ribosomal RNA". It matches the Rfam family "Bacterial small subunit ribosomal RNA", at positions 29 to 507 of the family's 1533-position model. The record is from RNAcentral.
AACGAACGCUGGCGGCAUGCCUAACACAUGCGAGUCGAACGAGACCUUCGGGUCUAGUGGCGCACGGGUGCGUAACGCGUGGGAAUCUGCCCUUCGGUUGGGAAUAACUGAGAGAAAUUUCAGCUAAUACCUUAUAAUGUCUUCGGACCAAAGAUUUAUCGCCGAGGGAUGAGCCCGCGUAGGAUUAGGUAGUUGGUGGGGUAAUGGCCUACCAAGCCGACGAUCCUUAGCUGGUCUGAGAGGAUGAUCAGCCACACUGGGACUGAGACACGGCCCAGACUCCUACGGGAGGCAGCAGUGGGGAAUAUUGGACAAUGGGCGAAAGCCUGAUCCAGCAAUGCCGCGUGAGUGAUGAAGGCCUUAGGGUUGUAAAGCUCUUUUACCCGGGAUGAUAAUGACAGUACCGGGAGAAUAAGCGCCGGCUAACUCCGUG